RNAcentral lists this unclassified non-coding RNA (3790 nucleotides) under Homarus americanus (American lobster). RNAcentral's name for it is "organic cation transporter protein-like, transcript variant X1". The record is from RNAcentral. Lineage: Eukaryota; Metazoa; Arthropoda; Malacostraca; Decapoda; Nephropidae.
ACACCUACUGUAACGCCUCACGGCUACGGUUCAUGCCUCACCCAAGGACGCGCCUAUCCCCCAGUUGUUAUCGGUACAAUAAUUUAUGAAGAUAUCUCAUGUGACGUGAUUGAAAUUUCAAGGUGCAUAUUAUCUUAUUAAGUUAGAGGCGUGUUUUGUGGUGUGGGUGAGGCCGUCUCGCCACGUGUAUCGGUGAGGAUGCAAGAGGAAUGUCUGGACUUCGACGACGUCUUACCUCAUGUUGGAGAGUUCGGCAAGUACCAGUGGCUGCUGUUCCUAGGCCUGGCACCCUUCUGCCUCAACGUGGUGUUCAUCUACUUCGUGCAGUUCUUUAUCACCAUCCCGCCCGAACACUGGUGCGCCGUUCCUCAACUCCAGGAGGCUAACAUAACCCUUGAACUUCGACGACAGCUCAGCAUUCCUGUCACCUUCGACUCCCAGGGCAAGGAGAAGUGGAAUAGCUGUCAGAUGUACGAUGUAGACUACAGUAAACUGCUGCGGGAGGGCGUGACGUCAGCCAACGCCUCCUGGCCAGUGCGGGACUGCCAGACGUGGGAGUACGAUAUGUCUUCCAUAAGAUACUUUCACACUAUUGUCUCGGAGUAUUCGUGGGUGUGUGACCGGGAGUGGUAUGGCACCCUGGCACAGUCUGUGUUCUUCCUGGGUGCCAUAUUUGGUGGUCUUCUUAGUGGCUGGGCGGCUGACAGGUACGGGCGUGUACCGGUGUUGGUGGCGACUAACUUUGUUGGGGCGGCCACCUCCCUGCUGACGGCCCUGUCCACCUCUCUGGGGGACUUCCUUCUCUACAGGUUUCUCGCCGGGUUUGCCUUCGACAAUAUCUUCGUCAUGAUGUACGUCUUAGUGCUGGAGUACGUGGGACCCAGGCGGAGGACCCUGAUAGCCAACAUGUCCAUCGCGUUGUUCUUCACGGCGGGCACGGUGGCGCUGCCCUGGCUGGCGGUAGCGGCGGGGAACUGGCGCCUCUUCACCGCACUCUCCUGCACACCUAUGAUUUUCGGCUGCUUCGCCUUCUGGGUCCUGCCUGAGAGUGCCCGCUGGCUCCUCUCCCAAAGCCGUGUAGAGGAGACGAUAGAGAUCCUUAAGAAGAUCGCCAAGGUGAACGGACGCACCAUCCCUGACCAGGUGCUGCAUGACCUCCAGAAAAGCUCCCAGUUGGAGCUGGAGGAGACUCCCAUGGUGGAGCAGUCUUCUGCCUCACUACUCGACCUCUUCAGAACCCCGAGACUCCGCCGCAUCACUUUCGCUAUCUGUGUGGUCUGGAUGCUGCUGAGCAUGGUGUACGAUGGACACGCUCGUAACGUGUCCAACCUUCAGCUGGACGUGUUCGUAACGUUUACUAUUGCCUCGGCGACGGAGUUGCCAGCGGACAGUUUCCUGGUACUGACGCUGGACAGGUGGGGGCGGCGCUGGCUGGCCUGUGGCACCCUCAUCCUCUCCGGCAUCCUCAGCAUCCUCACCAUUGCUUUCGCAGGUAACGUGGUGGCGGUGGCGGUGCUGGCUAUGCUGGGGCGGCUGCUGGUCAACAUCGCAUAUAACAUUGGGCUGCAGUACGCAGCAGAGUUGUUGCCGACUGUGGUGCGUGCACAGGGAGUCGCCGCCGUCCACAUUACUGGCUACAUUGCUACUAUACUGUCUCCCGUCAUCGUUUAUCUGGGUACGAUCAAUCCCUUGGUCCCGCUGGUGGUGCUGGGGGUGGCGUCAGUGAUCGGAGGGCUGGUGGCGCUGCUGUUGCCAGAGACCCUACACAGGGACCUGCCUCAGACCCUCGCUGACGGUGAAAACUUCGGCAAGGACCAGGCCUUCUUCUACUUCCCCUGCAUCGAAAAGGAUAAAAAAUCCAGCCAGCCGCUGACACUGGGGGAGAUCGGCCAACAGCCGUCCUUCAUCAGGCACCGACCACGGCUGAGGGCGUCCCUCCGUGGGGAGACCUACAGGUCUACCCUCAUCAGGCACCGUAAGGAAGUCCUCUAUAUCCCUAUGGCUGACUGACACCACUACCACCACCACCACCACCAUCACCACCACCACCACCACCACCACCAGGAAGGUCUUCUACGCACCUGUGGUUGACUGCCACCAUUAUCAGGAAGGUCUUAUAUAUGCACACCUGUGGUUGACUGACACCACUGCCACUACCACCAAGAAGGUCUUAUACUCACCUGUGGUUGACACCACUACAACCAUUAUCAGGAAGGUCUUAUACUCACCUGUGGUUGACACCACUACAACCAUCAUCAGGAAGGUCUUAUACUCACCUGUGGUUGACACCACUACAACCACCAUCAGGAAGGUCUUAUACUCACCUGUGGUUGACACCACUACAACCAUCAUCAGGAAGGUCUUAUACUCACCUGUGGUUGACUGACACCACCAGCAGACAGCAGGAGGGACAAGAGUGAGGACUUAUCAUGGUCAGAAAGCGUCAGACGUGAGGGCGACUUCAUGACCCUUUCCAACAACAUUUUAUAUUGUCAUUGAACUAGACACUAACUUCAGAAUACUGUACAAAGUUGUCCGAACUCGAAAUAAUUAUUAUAUGAAUUUUGGUAGUAUCACAUUGUGAUUUAGAUAUAUAUAUAAUACUUUAUUAACUCUGUUGGUUCUCCUUUGCUCCUUAAGACAUAUUAAGUACGGUAUUACAAUUGUCGUGAACUUAAGACAUACUGAGUCAUACAAUUGUCGUGAACAUAAGACAUACUGAGUCUUACAACUGUCGUGAACUUGAGACACACUAAGUGUUACAACUGUCGUGAACUUGAGACACACUAAGUGUUACAACUGUCGUGAACUUGAGACACACUAAGUGUUACAACUGUCGUGAACUUGAGACACACUAAGUGUUACAACUGUCGUGAACUUGAGACACACUAAGUGUUACAACUGUCGUGAACUUGAGACACACUAAGUGUUACAACUGUCGUGAACUUGAGACACACUAAGUGUUACAACUGUCGUGAACUUGAGACACACUAAGUGUUACAACUGUCGUGAACUUGAGACACAACAAGUGUUACAACUGUCGUGAACUUGAGACACACUAAGUGUUACAACUGUCGUGAACUUGAGACACACUAAGUGUUACAACUGUCGUGAACUUGAGACACACUAAGUGUUACAACUGUCGUGAACUUGAGACACACUAAGUGUUACAACUGUUGUGAACUUGAGACACACUAAGUGUUACAACUGUCGUGAACUUGAGACACACUAAGUGUUACAACUGUCGUGAACUUGAGGCACACUAAGUGUUACAACUGUCGUGAACUUGAGACACACUAAGUGUUACAACUGUUGUGAACUUGAGACACACUAAGUGUUACAACUGUCGUGAACUUGAGACACACUAAGUGUUACAACUGUUGUGAACUUAAGACACACUUAGUGUUGUAAUACAGUGCAGUAUAGCCGCCCACGAAGUUUGGUUGAAACUGCCCUAACCUUAGGUGGUCAACUAAGUACAAUAUUUACUGGGGAAUAGUGAUAACUUUCGCUUAUGAAACUUUAUUAAGAUCAAUAAAUAAUAAUAAAGUCUCAUAGAGUAGAGUCAGAUUUUCCAGUGAGCUGUGAUCUUGAUCUUUGUCUGGUGGUGACCGGAGAACAAAAGUGCCUAGUCUAGGACAAGGCGGACGGCCGCCUGUGAAAUUUUCGUUAAGAUGGGUGGAAAUGUGGUCGCUCGAUUGGGAAUAAAACACAGACACGCUAGAAAAUGUACUUCCAAAUCCUUGGUUUCAUAAUAAACGCAGAGAACCAACAAAUUCUAAACACUGUA